CCGGAGGUAGCUCAGCUGGUAGAGCAUGCGUCUCAUACGCGCAGCGUCGCAGGUUCGAGCCCUGCCCUCCGGA
Molecule: transfer RNA, 73 nt
Filed under: Phycisphaerales bacterium
Lineage: Bacteria; Pseudomonadati; Planctomycetota; Phycisphaerae; Phycisphaerales
Description: tRNA-Met
Rfam family: tRNA
About the family: Transfer RNA (tRNA) molecules are approximately 80 nucleotides in length.
Source: RNAcentral